Molecule: microRNA precursor, 91 nt
Filed under: Dasypus novemcinctus (nine-banded armadillo)
Lineage: Eukaryota; Metazoa; Chordata; Mammalia; Cingulata; Dasypodidae
Description: miRNA (ENSDNOG00000028747.1)
Source: RNAcentral
CCUUGUUAGAGAUGCAAAUGCUUAGAAUCUAGUCCCAGAUAUUUUGAAUCAGAAACUCUUGGGUGUGGAGUUCAGGAAUCUGCAUUUUAAC